GACGAACGCUGGCGGCGUGCUUAACACAUGCAGGUCGAACGGAAGGGCCCUGCUUUUGUGGGGUGCUCGAGUGGCGAACGGGUGAGUAACACGUGAGUAACCUGCCCUUGACUUUGGGAUAACUUCAGGAAACUGGGGCUAAUACCGGAUAGGAGCUCCUGCUGCAUGGUGGGGGUUGGAAAGUUUCGGCGGUUGGGGAUGGACUCGCGGCUUAUCAGCUUGUUGGUGGGGUAGUGGCUUACCAAGGCUUUGACGGGUAGCCGGCCUGAGAGGGUGACCGGCCACAUUGGGACUGAGAUACGGCCCAGACUCCUACGGGAGGCAGCAGUGGGGAAUAUUGCACAAUGGGCGGAAGCCUGAUGCAGCAACGCCGCGUGCGGGAUGACGGCCUUCGGGUUGUAAACCGCUUUCGCCUGUGACGAAGCGUGAGUGACGGUAAUGGGUAAAGAAGCACCGGCUAACUACGUG
Molecule: ribosomal RNA, 468 nt
Filed under: uncultured bacterium
Lineage: Bacteria
Description: partial 16S ribosomal RNA
Rfam family: Bacterial small subunit ribosomal RNA
Source: RNAcentral